GUUGGCGGCCAUAGGUGGGAGCUAGGACCCGUACCCAUUCCGAAAGAAUGAGGAAGGCAAGGCAGGAACGCUGAAAGCGAUGCUUAACUCGUACCGGAAGCACGGAAGUGAAUCUCCCAUGCGAUCUCUGUGGUAGUGUGGUGCUAACGCCCACGCGAAGCUUAGACCGCUGCCAACC
Molecule: ribosomal RNA, 178 nt
Filed under: Candidatus Bathyarchaeota archaeon
Lineage: Archaea; Thermoproteati; Candidatus Bathyarchaeota
Source: RNAcentral